Long non-coding RNA from Hibiscus syriacus, 1677 nucleotides. RefSeq lists it as uncharacterized. The record is from RefSeq and is a predicted model, not a curated record. Lineage: Eukaryota; Viridiplantae; Streptophyta; Magnoliopsida; Malvales; Malvaceae. The transcript is spliced from 3 exons.
UCUUGAUUUAUCCGACAACCAGCCCAGUAGUGUCAUUCUAGAAGGCAUAUCUUCUUUAACAGAGCUAACGUGGUAAAGCGUGCUCAACUUUUUUGGUACGGUCUCGGAAGGAAUCAGUGAGUUACCCAAUCUCAACACUUUACUUCUCUGGAACAACAAUCCUAGCGACAUUCUCCCACAAAAAUUGGGUUCAAAUAACUUGCUAUCACUUGAUGUCUCGACGAAUUCUCUCACGGGUCCAAUCCUGCCAAUUCUUUGCUAUGGGAACAAGCUAUUCAAACUCUUACUGUUUAACAACAUGUUCAAGCAUGAGCUACCUGGAAGCUUUGUAAACUGCACUUCACUUUCAAGAUUCCGAAUCCAAAACAAUCUUCUCAACUGUACCAUUUCUUACUGUUUCGGACUGUUGAAAAACCUCACGUUUGUGGAGGUGAGUAAGAACGACUUUACCAGCGAGAUUUAGAAGGAUUUUGGCUAUGCACCGAUGUUACAGUUUCUUAACACCUUCGAGAACUCUUUCAAUGCAGCGUUGUCGAGCAACAUUUGGGGUGCACCAAGUUUGCAGAUAUUCUCAGCUAGUUCGGCUAAGCUAACUGGGGAAAUCUCUAAUUUCAUCGGUUGUAAAAACAUCUACAAAAUCGAGCUCCAAGGUAGUUCUCUAAACGGAAGCAUCCCCUGGUACAUUGAUCAUUGUGAAAAGCUUGUCUUCGAAUUUAAGCAGAAAUUUUUUUACUGGAAUAAUUUCAUGGAAAUAUUGACGCUUCCUUCAAUAACUGUUGAUAUUUCGCAUAAUUUGCCCACCGGAACUAUCCCUUCAAACUUCGAAAACUGUAGCACUUUUUCUAUAACUUGCUAACCGGCCCAAUCCCAUCGCCUGGUCUGAUAUUUCCUAACUUACACCCUUCAUUGUUUUGCGGUAACAACAGCCUUUACGGCAAAAUUUUAGCGAGAUUAUGCCUAGUUGAGGCGAUUGCCAUAGGUGACAUGGAAGUUCGUAACUAGCUGCAGCAGCCAAAGAAAAUGACUGGAGUUAUCAUUUGGAUUAUGGCAGCCGUUUUUGGGAUUGGUUUGUUUGUUCUCAUAGUUGGUACCCGAUGUUUCCAUGUGAAUUACAGUUGCAGGUUCAGUGACGAUCGUGAGAUCAGACCAUGUAUAUUGAUCACCUUCUAGCGUUUCAUUUUCAUUGCUGAUGAUGUUACUAGUGUCUUUCGAUGGCAGACAAGAUCAUAGGGAUAGAUCCACGAGAACGAUAUGCAAAGCGGAGAUGCCCCGCGGCGAAAUCAUAGCGGUGAAGUUGUGUGGUAAGAAUAAAGAGAUCAUCUAGCGCGGAAAUGUGUGUGGCAGAGGUUGACGUGCUGGGGAACGUCAGGCACCGUAACAUAGUUAGAUUGUUAGGUUGUUGCAGCAACAGGGAGUGUACGAUGCUCUGCUCCAUUAUUGCAUGCCAAGAACAAAGGGGAGAACUUGGUGGCCGAUUGGGUGACAAGAGAGAUGGAGGUCAGAGUGACAGAUUUUAGAGUUGCCAAGUUGAUCCAGAGUGAUGACUGAUGAGUCCAUGUCUUUCAUUGUCGGCUGGCUCCUAUGGAUACAUUGCUCCAGUUCGAACCCGACGGACUGGCCAUCGAUGAGGGAUGUUUUGAUGAUGUUGCAAGAAGCCAGGUCCAUGAGGAAACUACU